Molecule: long non-coding RNA, 1600 nt
Filed under: Astyanax mexicanus (Mexican tetra)
Lineage: Eukaryota; Metazoa; Chordata; Actinopteri; Characiformes; Acestrorhamphidae
Description: lncRNA (ENSAMXG00005008753.1)
Source: RNAcentral
AUGGUUUGUGGUAAUGACGCCACUGUUUUUGGUAGUGAUGGCUUUGUUUUAUGUAAUGACUGUACUUAUAAAAUAGUUUGUGCUAGUGACACCACUGUUUUGAUAUUGGCUGCACUGUUUUAUGUACUUAUGGAAUGGUUUGUGGUAAUGACAGCACUGUUUUAUGUAUUUAUGGAAUGGUUUGUGGUAGUGACAGCACUGUUUUUGGUACUUAUGGAAUGGUUUGUGGUAGUGACAGCACUGUUUUUGGUAGUUAUGGAAUGGUUUGUAGUAGUGACUGCACUGUUUUUGGUACUUAUGGAAUGGUUUGUGGUAGUGACAGCACUGUUUUUGGUACUUAUGGAAUGGUUUGUAGUAGUGACACCACCGUUUUUGGUACUUAUGAAAUGGUUUGUGGUAGUGACUGUGUUUAUUAAUGGCGGCUCUGUUUUUGGUAGUGACAGCUCUGUUUUUGGUAGUGACAGCUCUGUUUUUGGUAUUGACAGCUCUGUUUUUGGUAGUAAAAUCUCUGUUUUUGGUAGUGACAGCUCUGUUUUUGGUAGUAAUGGCUCUGUUUUUGGCAGUGGCAGUAUUCUCAGGAAUCUACAAUACACAAAAUGAACUGCUUGUAAUUUACUCCUGAGCUGCUACAGUGUGUAGUGCUGCAGGCUUCCACCAGAUGGAGACCAACACCAGUGAACAGACAGCACCAACCCCUACAGUGAGCACAUGGAGAGUACACACAGUCAACACAUAAAAUACAGAGCCUACAAAUAUCGUUUAAUUCUUUAUAUUAAUCAUAUUAUAGUAUCAUCAUUGGUGAUAUCAAGUGUUACACAUUAUUUUCCACAUUCUUCAAAGAAGCUCCUCUUGUUUAGAUGAUCAGUUUUACACAUCUCUGCUGGAUUUUCUUAGUCAGUUUACAUUAAACCAAACAUCUGGGACUUGUCAGACUAUGGUCUAUGAAAAUUCUUUUUGAAGUCGUCUAUUGUAUGGUUAGCAUUAACAAAGAAAAAAUUAUUAUGAUGAAACUAGCAUUCGUCAGCACCGCCACACCAUAUGUAUAUAAAUAGUAAUAUUUUAUUAGCUAAUACUAAUACUAAAGAGCUUUUGUGGAAUCUGCUGAAGUUUGAAGCCAGUCUCUGUCUUAAAAAAAGGAAAGUGAGAAAUAAUCACGAUUAAUCACAGAAUAUAGUUGUGAUUAAUCAGAUUACUUUUAACACUGAAGCUGCCUUCAAACACAUGUAGUUUCUACACAAGCUCAUUAGUAAUAGUAUUAGCUAGCAAAAUACUACUACUGGUUAAAUGCAUCUGGAAGAAAAUAAGAGUCCACUUAAAAAUUAUGAGUUUCAUUGAUUUUACUAAAUUUAAAACCUAUGGAAUAUAAUCAAGAGGAAGAUGGAUGAUCACAAGCCAUCAACUCAAGCUGAACUGCUUGCAUUUUUGCACCAGACGUGGCAUAAAGUUAUCCAAAAGCAGUGUGUAAGACUGGUGGAGGAGAACAUGAUGCCAUUAAAAACCAGGGUUAUUCCACCAAAUAUUGAUUUCUGAACUUUUAAAACUUUAUGAAUAUGAACUUGUUUUCUUUGCAUUAUUUGAGGUCUGAAAGCUCUGCAUCUUU